Molecule: ribosomal RNA, 409 nt
Filed under: Fusobacteriota bacterium
Lineage: Bacteria; Fusobacteriati; Fusobacteriota
Description: Fusobacteria bacterium partial 16S ribosomal RNA
Rfam family: Bacterial small subunit ribosomal RNA
Source: RNAcentral
UGGGGAAUAUUGCACAAUGGAGGGAACUCUGAUGCAGCAACGCCGCGUGCGGGAUGACGGCCUUCGGGUUGUAAACCGCUUUCAGCCAUGACGAAGCUUUUGUGACGGUAGUGGUAGAAGAAGCACCGGCUAACUACGUGCCAGCAGCCGCGGUGAUACGUAGGGUGCGAGCGUUGUCCGGAAUUAUUGGGCGUAAAGAGCUUGUAGGCGGUUUGUCGCGUCGAUAGUGUAAACACGCAGCUUAACUGUGUGCCUGCUGUCGAUACGGGCUGACUAGAGGAGGGUAGGGGAGAAUGGAAUUCCCGGUGGAGCGGUGGAAUGCGCAGGUAUCGGGAGGAACACCAGUGGCGAAGGCGGUUCUCUGGACCUUUCCUGACGCUGAGAAGCGAAAGCGUGGGUAGCAAACAGG